RNAcentral lists this unclassified non-coding RNA (332 nucleotides) under soil metagenome. RNAcentral's name for it is "partial contains 5.8S ribosomal RNA, internal transcribed spacer 2, and large subunit ribosomal RNA". The stretch from base 1 to 120 matches the Rfam family "5.8S ribosomal RNA", at positions 35 to 154 of the family's 154-position model. The record is from RNAcentral.
GAUGAAGAACGUAGCAAAAUGCGAUAAGUAAUGUGAAUUGCAGAAUUCAGUGAAUCAUCGAAUCUUUGAACGCACAUUGCGCCCGCCAGUAUUCUGACGGGCAUGCCUGUUCGAGCGUCAUUUCAACCCUCAAGCACAGCUUGGUGUUGGGACUCGCGUUAAUUCGCGUUCCUCAAAUUGAUUGGCGGUCACGUCGAGCUUCCAUAGCGUAGUAGUAAAACCCUCGUUACUGGUAAUCGUCGCGGCCACGCCGUUAAACCCCAACUUCUGAAUGUUGACCUCGGAUCAGGUAGGAAUACCCGCUGAACUUAAGCAUAUCAAUAAGCGGAGGA